AUUGAACGCUGGCGGCAUGCCUAACACAUGCAAGUCGAACGGUAACGCGGAGAGCUUGCUCUCUGGCGACGAGUGGCGGACGGGUGAGUAAUACUUGGGAAUCUGCCCAGUAGUGGGGGACAACAUUCGGAAACGGAUGCUAAUACCGCAUACGCACUACGGUGGAAAGUGGGGGAUCUUCGGACCUCACGCUAUUGGAUGAGCCCAAGUCGGAUUAGCUUGUAGGUAGGGUAACGGCCUACCUAGGCGACGAUCCGUAGCUGGUCUGAGAGGACGAUCAGCCACACUGGGACUGAGACACGGCCCAGACUCCUACGGGAGGCAGCAGUGGGGAAUAUUGGACAAUGGGCGCAAGCCUGAUCCAGCAAUGCCGCGUGUGUGAAGAAGGCCUGCGGGUUGUAAAGCACUUUCAGUAGAGAAGAAAAGCCUAGGGUUAAUAACCCUGAGUCUUGACGUAACCUACAGAAGAAGCACCGGCUAACUCCGUG
Molecule: ribosomal RNA, 488 nt
Filed under: uncultured bacterium
Lineage: Bacteria
Description: bacterial SSU rRNA
Rfam family: Bacterial small subunit ribosomal RNA
Source: RNAcentral